RNAcentral lists this ribosomal RNA (253 nucleotides) under uncultured prokaryote. Its description in RNAcentral is "partial 16S ribosomal RNA". It matches the Rfam family "Bacterial small subunit ribosomal RNA", at positions 524 to 776 of the family's 1533-position model. The record is from RNAcentral.
UACGUAGGCAGCGAGCGUUGUUCGGAAUUACUGGGCGUAAAGAGUGUGUAGGCGGUGCUCUAAGUUCGGUGUGAAAUCUCCCGGCUCAACUGGGAGGGUGCGCCGAAAACUGGGGGGCUUGAGUGUUGGAGAGGAAAGCGGAAUUCCUGGUGUAGCGGUGAAAUGCGUAGAUAUCAGGAGGAACACCGGUGGUGUAGACGGCUUUCUGGACAACGACUGACGCUGAGACACGAAAGUGUGGGGAGCAAACAGG